Molecule: ribosomal RNA, 281 nt
Filed under: uncultured bacterium
Lineage: Bacteria
Description: partial 16S ribosomal RNA
Rfam family: Bacterial small subunit ribosomal RNA
Source: RNAcentral
AAUCAACGCUGGCGGCGUGCCUAACACAUGCAAGUCGAACGCGACUGGGGCUUCGGGCCUCAGUUGAGUGGCGAACGGGUGAGUAACACGUGGGUGACCUACCUUCGAAUGGGGGAUAACGUCCCGAAAGGGACGCUAAUACCGCAUAACAUCCUGCCUUUGAACAGGCGGAGAUCAAAGCCGGGGAUCGCGAAGACCUGGCGUUUGAAGAGGGGCCUGCGUCCGAUUAGCUAGUUGGUGAGGUAACGGCUCACCAAGGCGACGAUCGGUAGCCGGCCUGA